Molecule: ribosomal RNA, 253 nt
Filed under: uncultured bacterium
Lineage: Bacteria
Description: partial 16S ribosomal RNA
Rfam family: Bacterial small subunit ribosomal RNA
Source: RNAcentral
GACGGAGGAGGCUAGCGUUGUUCGGAAUUACUGGGCGUAAAGCGUGCGCAGGUUGUGAGAUCAGUUGGAUGUGAAAGCCCGGGGCUUAACCUCGGAUGUGCAUCCAAUACUGUCUCGCUGGAGGUUGGAAGAGGAGAGUGGAAUUCCCAGUGUAGAGGUGAAAUUCGUAAAUAUUGGGAAGAACACCAGUGGCGAAGGCGGCUCUCUGGUCCAUACCUGACACUCAUGCACGAAAGCGUGGGGAGCAAACAGG